Molecule: long non-coding RNA, 1682 nt
Filed under: Citrus sinensis (sweet orange)
Lineage: Eukaryota; Viridiplantae; Streptophyta; Magnoliopsida; Sapindales; Rutaceae
Description: long non-coding RNA (CSIN_LNC004773)
Source: RNAcentral
AACUUGCAGAUGUUGUACUUGAAUGAUAACUCUUUGACUUUGAAAUUGAGCCAUGAUUGGGUUCCUCCUUUUCAACUGAAAUCGUUAAGUCUUGCCUCUUGCAAGAUGGGACCUCAUUUUCCAAAAUGGCUUCAAACUCAAAAUCAACUUAUCUCCCUUGAUGUCUCCAAUAAUGGAAUCUCGGAUGCUGUCCCUGACUGGUUUUGGGAUCUGUCCAUUGAACUCGUUCUUUUAAAUCUCUCUAACAACCAGAUCAGGGGUAAACUUUCUAAUUUGUCUUUUUUAAGAUAUGAUGAUAUUGUUAUAGACGUCAGUUCAAACCACUUUUGGGGCCCAAUUCCACCACUUCCUUCAAAUUCUACGUUAUUGAAUCUCUCAAAAAAUAAGUUCUCAGGAUCAAUUACUUUCUUAUGUUCUAUUAUAAAAAACACAUGGAACUUUUUUGAUCUCUCGAGUAACUUAUUAUCUGGAGGGCUUCCAGAUUGUUGGUUGAAUUUUGAUAGCUUAUCCAUUCUUAAUUUGGCAAACAAUAGCUUCUCCGGGAAAAUUCCAGACUCGAUGGGCUUCCUACAUAAUAUCCAAACACUGAGUUUACACAACAAUAGGUUAACUGGGGAAUUGCCUUCAUCUUUAAAGAAUUGCUCACAACUGAGAGUUUUGGAUCUUGGGGAGAAUGCAUUGUACAGUGAGAUACCAACCUGGAUAGGGGGAAGUCUUCAAAAUUUGAUUGUUCUUAGCUUGAAAUCUAAUAAUUUUCAUGGAAAUAUACCUUUGCAGUUAUGCCAUCUGGCAUUAAUUCAAGUCCUGGAUCUCUCUUUAAACAAUAUAUCGGGAAAUAUACCAAAAUGUUUCAAUAAUUUCUCAGCCAUGACCCGAGAAAAAAGUUCCAAUCCUAUCAUUGGGUUGGCUGAUAAAAUCUGGAUUCUCCCUAGAUAUGUAUAUAUGUAUAGUUAUUUGGACAAUGUUCUGUUGACAUGGAAAGGAAGUGAACACGAGUACAAAAGUACUUUGGGACUAUCGUACAACAACUUGUCAGGAAAAAUCCCAUUAGGCACUCAACUCCAGAGCUUCAAUGCUUCAGUGUACGCUGGAAAUCUUGAACUUUGUGGCUUUCCACUCGCAAAUAUGUGUCCGGAUGAAGAAUCAGCUCCAAGUCCAGGCACAGACGAUGAUUCAGACACUCUAGAAGAUGAGGACGAUCAGUUUAUAACUCUCGGAUUUUACGUGAGCUAUUCACUGGAGGGUCUAUCUUUAGUUGCCAAUGAUAUCACUGGGCCAUUACCUGAUCUUGUAGGGUUUUCAUCCCUAAAAACAUUAACACUUGGAGAAAAUCGAUUAAAUGGAACAAUAAACAAAAGCCUCAGCCAGUUGUUGAAGCUCGAGUCUCUGUCACUUGGUACGAAUUCAUUCACAGGUGUUAUCUCUGAAACUUUUUUUUCCAAUAUGUCCAACUUGCAGAUGUUGUACUUGAAUGAUAACUCUUUGACUUUGAAAUUGAGCCAUGAUUGGGUUCCUCCUUUUCAACUGAAAUCGUUAAGUCUUGCCUCUUGCAAGAUGGGACCUCAUUUUCCAAAAUGGCUUCAAACUCAAAAUCAACUUAUCUCCCUUGAUGUCUCCAAUAAUGGAAUCUCGGAUGCUGUCCCUGACUGGUUUUGGGAUCUGUCCAUUGAACUCGUUCUUUU